This is a long non-coding RNA of Zingiber officinale, 765 nucleotides long. RefSeq lists it as uncharacterized. The transcript is spliced from 4 exons. The record is from RefSeq and is a predicted model, not a curated record. Lineage: Eukaryota; Viridiplantae; Streptophyta; Magnoliopsida; Zingiberales; Zingiberaceae.
CCAACGCCGAUAUCCCGACCCGAUCUCCUCAUCCCCGACCAUUCUUCCCCGAUCACUUCUCCUCACCAUCGAUUCUCUCUCGCGGACGACUUGGCGCCGAGACCGGAGGAGCACCUUCGACGAUUGUCGGUGUUGCCUGAGGAGGAAGUCACCGGAGCUCGACGGAAUCCAAGUUGUAUUCGACCGAGGGGUCGCUGCUUUGGUGAUUUCUGUGGCCGAGUGUCGACGAUCGAUGGCUAGGGCACGGUGAGAGCUAGAUCUUGCAUCGUCUUCCAUCGGUAGGCCUUCCCUCUCCUCCCUCACGCCGACUGCCGACGCCACUGGAAUCGAGUCAGAUUUGAUCGUCGGCGUGAAGAGAUAAUUAGGGCUUUGAGGGUCAGGUCUUGGAUCCCUUCCUUGUUGUUGUUGAUUGAGAGUCAGGGGAAUCCCUGGUAUGCUGGUUCACGGAGCGGAGUAGGUGAUCCAUCUGGAAAUGAUCAGUUGAGGAGGGAGAGAUCGGAUCCAAUUACUUGCUGUAAUCCACAGAUCAGUUCUUGGAUGUUUCCUUCUUUGCUGUGAUAGAGGUGUUCUGUAGGUUGGGAGGUUCCUUGUUCUUGAUUAAAGGAAGCAUUGGGCUGCUGUGGAUCAAUGAUUUAGGUCACGGGAUUGAUUUCCAGUGAGGUUCUUACUUGAUUCCAGCAUCCAGUAGCUGAGAUUGAGGAUUCUGAUUCGAGACAGGCGUCUCGACGUUGACUUCGGAUUUGGGAUUGUACCUUCUAUUUGAGG